RNAcentral lists this long non-coding RNA (408 nucleotides) under Cyanistes caeruleus (blue tit). RNAcentral's name for it is "lncRNA (ENSCCEG00000009383.1)". The record is from RNAcentral. Lineage: Eukaryota; Metazoa; Chordata; Aves; Passeriformes; Paridae.
GAGAGAGAGAGAGAGAGAGAGAGAGAGAGAGAGAGAGAGAGAGAGGGAGAGAGAGAGAGACAGAGACACAGACACAGACAGAGGCAGAAAGCCUGAGAGAAGGUGGACGGACCCAGCAGCCGCAGCCCGGCUCCUCCCGGACCGGGCACCCUGUCGACGGCCCCGACUCUCCGGGCCACCCCAGUUUGGAGGACUCUAACCUUGAUUUUCCAGCUUUGAGCUCCCUCUGGAAGCGGGCUGUCAGACUACUGAAAACCAUCUAGACCUUCAUCCACAGGCAGGUAAUCCACAAGUGAUGUUUUUUUCCCCCUGAGAGUACUGAUAUUAUGUAGUAAUCAUAACUAUAAAGUAUUUAUAUAAAGCAAAAUCUUGACUUGGACAAAGAAUUUGUCUUCCAGCCUGUAUGUC